This 497-nucleotide ribosomal RNA is filed under the name uncultured bacterium. RNAcentral describes it as "partial 16S ribosomal RNA". It matches the Rfam family "Bacterial small subunit ribosomal RNA", at positions 28 to 507 of the family's 1533-position model. The record is from RNAcentral.
GAUGAACGCUGGCGGCGUGCCUAAUACAUGCAAGUCGAGCGAACGGACGAGAAGCUUGCUUCUCUGAUGUUAGCGGCGGACGGGUGAGUAACACGUGGAUAACCUACCUAUAAGACUGGGAUAACUUCGGGAAACCGUAGCUAAUACCGGAUAAUAUUUUGAACCGCAUGGUUCAAAAGUGAAAGACGGUCUUGCUGUCACUUAUAGAUGGAUCCGCGCUGCAUUAGCUAGUUGGUAAGGUAACGGCUUACCAAGGCAACGAUGCGUAGCCGACCUGAGAGGGUGAUCGGCCACACUGGAACUGAGACACGGUCCAGACUCCUACGGGAGGCAGCAGUAGGGAAUCUUCCGCAAUGGGCGAAAGCCUGACGGAGCAACGCCGCGUGAGUGAUGAAGGUCUUCGGAUCGUAAAACUCUGUUAUUAGGGAAGAACAUAUGUGUAAGUAACUGUGCACGUCUUGACGGUACCUAAUCAGAAAGCCACGGCUAACUACGUG